CAUUGAAUCUGAUCUGGAUAGUAGCCUCAGGAUUUCCUACAAUUCCCUCUGACGAGCAAAGUGAAGCACUGCUGGUCCCUGUUCUGGGCAGGAGCAUCAGACGUGGAAAAAGAAAGGUGCCAGCACAGUGGACAGAGGAGCGUGCUUAGGACAAGUAACAUGUGAACAGGUCCUUGCUGGCUCAGUUGGAACAUUACCCUUGGCAGUGGAGAGAAUUUUCCAUCUUCACAAACAGUUGUAAGCCAAUAGGACCAAGGAUGGAGCUGCGGGGUGCAGAGUGAGAAAAGCAUGCCCAGCUGACCCAGAUGGCACAGAGAAAGACAAGGUGGCUGUCUCAGCAGGAUUGGGGCUGGGCAGACCCAUCCAAGAUCACACGCCAUCCGCUCACAUUCGGGCUAUAAAGACUGACCUCACUUCAAACCAGUUGUCUAUCUGUAAGGGAUUCUGAUGCUUUUUCUUCCUCUUCUUCUUCUUCUUCAAAAAAAUAAGUUUAUAAUUCACUCUAUCAACAAACACCAUUUUGAUCUGGGUAACAUCCCUGCUGUUUCAAUGACUUAUUUUCCAAAGAUUGAG
Rattus norvegicus (Norway rat) is the source of this 573-nucleotide non-coding RNA. The record is from RefSeq and is a predicted model, not a curated record. Lineage: Eukaryota; Metazoa; Chordata; Mammalia; Rodentia; Muridae.